RNAcentral lists this unclassified non-coding RNA (250 nucleotides) under Hevea brasiliensis (rubber tree). The record is from RNAcentral. Lineage: Eukaryota; Viridiplantae; Streptophyta; Magnoliopsida; Malpighiales; Euphorbiaceae.
AAACAACAAGUGGCUGGUUGGGUUCAAACCUACAAGGGAGGGCUCACCUUGGCCAGUGUAAGAGGGGCAGGCCAUCAAGUCCCUAUGUUUGCUCCUCAACAAUCACUCUCGCUUUUUUCUCAUUUCCUUUCUGCUAAGACUUUGCCUUCCACUCGGUCUUAAAUUCUCGAGAGGCAAACCGAAUUUGAUAACCAUUUUGUUUUUAAAAAAGACAUAAGAUUAAUACUCGUUUAAUAAAUUUUUGUUCAUG